Molecule: ribosomal RNA, 835 nt
Filed under: uncultured bacterium
Lineage: Bacteria
Description: bacterial SSU rRNA
Rfam family: Bacterial small subunit ribosomal RNA
Source: RNAcentral
AGAGUUUGAUCCUGGCUCAGGAUGAACGCUAGCGGCAGGCCUAAUACAUGCAAGUCGGACGGGAUUUUCUCUUUCGGGAGAGAUGAGAGUGGCGCACGGGUGCGUAACGCGUAUGCAACCUACCCUUUACAGGGGGAUAGCCCGGGGAAACCCGGAUUAAUACCCCAUAGUAUAUGAGAGCUGCAUGGUUUUCAUAUUAAAGAUUCAUCGGUAAGGGAUGGGCAUGCGUAGGAUUAGUUAGUUGGCGGGGUAACGGCCCACCAAGACUGUGAUCCUUAGGGGUUCUGAGAGGAAGGUCCCCCACACUGGCACUGAGAUACGGGCCAGACUCCUACGGGAGGCAGCAGUAGGGAAUAUUGGGCAAUGGAGGGAACUCUGACCCAGCCAUGCCGCGUGCAGGAAGACGGCCUUACGGGUUGUAAACUGCUUUUACACGGGAAGAAAAUGCCCAUGCGUGGGAAACUGCCGGUACCGUGUGAAUAAGCACCGGCUAACUCCGUGCCAGCAGCCGCGGUAAUACGGAGGGUGCAAGCGUUGUCCGGAUUUAUUGGGUUUAAAGGGUGCGUAGGCGGCUGGUUAAGUCAGCGGUGAAAGUUUCAGGCUCAACCUGGAAACUGCCGUUGAUACUGGCUGGCUUGAGUGCGGUCUGGGUACAUGGAAUUUAUGGUGUAGCGGUGAAAUGCAUAGAUACCAUAAGGAACACCGAUAGCGAAGGCAUUGUACUGGGCCGCAACUGACGCUGAUGCACGAAAGCGUGGGUAGCGAACAGGAUUAGAUACCCUGGUAGUCCACGCCGUAAACGAUGAUCACUCGCUGUCCUCCCUAUAUGGGGUGG